Oreochromis aureus is the source of this 641-nucleotide long non-coding RNA. The record is from Ensembl. Lineage: Eukaryota; Metazoa; Chordata; Actinopteri; Cichliformes; Cichlidae.
UCACCCUCCCUUUCACAUGCCUGGAGAGUUUUGUAGUACAAGAGGGGCCCUGCAAGUCUGAUGGUGCAAUUAUUUUCACACUGUUCUCCCUUGAAGACUUUGAUGACUUUUCUUGUAUUUGUUUUAGGAGGAAAUGAAGCUAUCCCACCAGUGGUACAUCACUGCAUCUCUGCCCCAUAGCGGCUGAACAAAUCAGGGGGGUACAAUGAUUUAGAAACAGCUCCACUGUGGCAAAUUGUGAAAAGGUGUUUGAUGGCAGCUCAGCUACAACAGCAAAAGGAAUUACCUGGAGUGGAACAGUUGCACGCAGUACUGAUCAGCUGUCCCAUACAAUCAGCCCAUCUGCUCGAUACCAACUCGACUGAUAUAAUCUGAUCUUUAAAAAGAUGGCAUCAACCAUCCCUGCAAUCAGCAAACAGUCCGAUGAUGGUGAUGUUCACCUCUUAAACCUGUCAAGUCUCAUGUUUUACUCAUGAGGUUUCAGAACCCUUUUCUGUUACAGCAAUGAAAUCAAACUCUUUCCAACUGUCAUACUAUCAAAGAACAUCCCAUAAAAGGCCCUUUUGGCUUCAGUAGUUUCUUUCGUGUGUGGUGGCAGCCAGUAGGAGAUAAUGUUGUGAAUAAAGCCAUUUCUGACCGCC